Molecule: ribosomal RNA, 291 nt
Filed under: Fuligo luteonitens
Lineage: Eukaryota; Evosea; Eumycetozoa; Physariida; Physaraceae
Description: partial small subunit ribosomal RNA
Rfam family: Bacterial small subunit ribosomal RNA
Source: RNAcentral
GCGAUAGUUAAAUACCGUAAAGACUGAGGAUGACCCUCUUAAUGCUGUGUUCACUAACUAUCUUGAGUUUCGAAGGCGGUUUCUUGAAUUCUCGAAGGAAGGGUGAAAUUGUUGAUAUUGGAAGACAUUCGAUAGCGAAAGCAAUAACCGAUUCGGAUCUGACGCUAGGUACUAAAGUAUGGGGAUAAAUAGGAUUAGAGACCUAGUAGUCCAUACCUUAAACAAUGAGUAUUCAACAUCUUUUAGCACGAAUGUGCUAUCUGGGGUUUAAAGUUACGCCGCGAAACACUA